Molecule: ribosomal RNA, 497 nt
Filed under: uncultured bacterium
Lineage: Bacteria
Description: partial 16S ribosomal RNA
Rfam family: Bacterial small subunit ribosomal RNA
Source: RNAcentral
GAUGAACGCUGGCGGCGUGCCUAAUACAUGCAAGUCGAGCGAACAGACGAGGAGCUUGCUCCUCUGACGUUAGCGGCGGACGGGUGAGUAACACGUGGAUAACCUACCUAUAAGACUGGGAUAACUUCGGGAAACCGGAGCUAAUACCGGAUAAUAUAUUGAACCGCAUGGUUCAAUAGUGAAAGACGGUUUUGCUGUCACUUAUAGAUGGAUCCGCGCCGCAUUAGCUAGUUGGUAAGGUAACGGCUUACCAAGGCAACGAUGCGUAGCCGACCUGAGAGGGUGAUCGGCCACACUGGAACUGCGACACGGUCCAGACUCCUACGGGAGGCAGCAGUAGGGAAUCUUCCGCAAGGGGCGGAAGCCUGACGGAGCAACCUCGCGUGAGUGAUGCAGGUCUUCGGAUCGUAAAACUCUGUUAUUAGGGAAGAACAAAUGUGUAAGUAACUAUGCACGUCUUGACGGUACCUAAUCAGAAAGCCACGGCUAACUACGUG